CCCUGGCUCAGAGUGAACGCUGGCGGCAGGCCUAACACAUGCAAGUCGAACGGCAGCACAGCAGUAGCAAUACUGUGGGUGGCGAGUGGCGGACGGGUGAGGAAUGCAUCGGAAUCUGCCUAUUUGUGGGGGAUAACGUAGGGAAACUUACGCUAAUACCGCAUACGUCCUACGGGAGAAAGUGGGGGACCUUCGGGCCUCACGCAGAUAGAUGAGCCGAUGCCGGAUUAGCUAGUUGGCGGGGUAAAGGCCCACCAAGGCGACGAUCCGUAGCUGGUCUGAGAGGAUGAUCAGCCACACUGGAACUGAGACACGGUCCAGACUCCUACGGGAGGCAGCAGUGGGGAAUAUUGGACAAUGGGCGCAAGCCUGAUCCAGCCAUGCCGCGUGUGUGAAGAAGGCCUUCGGGUUGUAAAGCACUUUUGUCCGGAAAGAAAAGCUUACGGGUUAAUAACCCGGGGUUAUGACGGUACCGGAAGAAUAAGCACCGGC
Molecule: ribosomal RNA, 492 nt
Filed under: Lysobacter sp. CL4.25
Lineage: Bacteria; Pseudomonadati; Pseudomonadota; Gammaproteobacteria; Lysobacterales; Lysobacteraceae
Description: bacterial SSU rRNA
Rfam family: Bacterial small subunit ribosomal RNA
Source: RNAcentral